This 499-nucleotide ribosomal RNA is filed under the name uncultured bacterium. RNAcentral describes it as "partial 16S ribosomal RNA". It matches the Rfam family "Bacterial small subunit ribosomal RNA", at positions 28 to 507 of the family's 1533-position model. The record is from RNAcentral.
GACGAACGCUGGCGGCGUACCUAAUACAUGCCAGUCGAGCGAAGUUUUUCUGGUGCUUGCCCUAGAAAAACUUAGCGGCGAACGGGUGAGUAACACGUAAAGAACCUGCCUCAUAGGCUGGGACAACUAUUGGAAACGAUAGCUAAUACCGGAUAACAGUAUUUCUCGCAUGAGAGAUAUUUAAAAGUUGGUUAUGCUAACACUAUGAGAUGGCUUUGCGGUGCAUUAGCUAGUUGGUGGGGUAAAGGCCCACCAAGGCGACGAUGCAUAGCCGACCUGAGAGGGUGAUCGGCCACACUGGGACUGAGACACGGCCCAGACUCCUACGGGAGGCAGCAGUAGGGAAUCUUCCGCAAUGGGCGAAAGCCUGACGGAGCAACGCCGCGUGAGUGAAGAAGGAUUUCGGUUCGUAAAGCUCUGUUGUUAGGGAAGAAUGGAUAUGUAGUAACUAUACAUGUAAGAGACGGUACCUAACCAGAAAGCCACGGCUAACUACGUG